Trichoplusia ni (cabbage looper) is the source of this 353-nucleotide long non-coding RNA. RefSeq lists it as uncharacterized. Lineage: Eukaryota; Metazoa; Arthropoda; Insecta; Lepidoptera; Noctuidae. The record is from RefSeq and is a predicted model, not a curated record. The transcript is spliced from 3 exons.
UAUAGUCGGCAGAACCGACUUUCUCUUUAGCCAUGGUUUCUCUGAGUUAGUACCAAAGUCACUGGCCGAUACUACGCCACAGCCAAUCGCAAAUACGAACGUCUACCUUUCAAUAUCAAUUAACGAUCCAAAACACUUAGUAAAUAUAACAUCAGCUCAUAUUUUGAAAAAAAGUUCCAGCGGAGUCUACGAAAAAAUAAUACGAACACUACCUCUGACAGAAAUUUCCAAAGAUUUUUACAUAACACAGCCGCUCGUAGAGCCUUCGGAAAAAUUUCAAAUUUUAGUGGAGGGAAUCGUAAUUUCUACAGGUAAGACUAUCAGAAGGAUGUCAAAAAUUCCCAUCACACCUC